RNAcentral lists this ribosomal RNA (244 nucleotides) under uncultured bacterium. RNAcentral describes it as "partial 16S ribosomal RNA". It matches the Rfam family "Bacterial small subunit ribosomal RNA", at positions 93 to 334 of the family's 1533-position model. The record is from RNAcentral.
CCCGGGCGCACGGGUGAGUAACACGUAUGCAAUCCACCUGUAACAGGGGAGUAACCCGGAGAAAUCCGGACUAAUACCCAUAAUAUGGGCGCUCCGCAUGGAGAGUUCAUUAAAGAGAGCAAUUUUGGUUACAGACGAGCAUGCGCUCCAUUAGCCAGUUGGCGGGGUAACGGCCCACCAAGGCGACGAUGGAUAGGGGUUCUGAGAGGAAGGUCCCCCACAUUGGAACUGAGACACGGUCCAA